GCCGCUACACAAAGCGCAGACGCCGUCGAGUCGUGACGGAGACAUCGACGGACUCUCGAACGGUUGCCGUCUCAGCUCGCCAAACCUCUGCUCCACCUCCUUUGCCACAGAUCUAUCAAGUUUUAGCUGUGAAGACAUGAGUCUCCUCUGUGUACCCAUAGUAGCCAAUUCACAAACAAGUAUUGAAACAGGCAAUCAAAUGUAGACGUUGAAGCAAACAAUCAAGUUCAAGAGAUUUCAUCAAGCUUUAGUAAUUUUAGGGAUUAAUGUUUUCCACAGAUCUAUCAAGUUAUAAUAAUUUCAAGGUUAGCUAGUAAAUUUUACUUAAUUUGUGAUUUCUAAUUGUGGUGGAAGAUUAUGUUAAUGAAAGGAUUG
This 375-nucleotide long non-coding RNA is filed under the name Helianthus annuus (common sunflower). RNAcentral's name for it is "hypothetical non coding rna". Lineage: Eukaryota; Viridiplantae; Streptophyta; Magnoliopsida; Asterales; Asteraceae. The record is from RNAcentral.